UACGGAGGGUGCAAGCGUUAUCCGGAUUCACUGGGUUUAAAGGGUGCGUAGGUGGUUUGGUAAGUCAGUGGUGAAAUCUCCAGGCUUAACUUGGAAACUGCCAUUGAUACUAUCAAUCUUGAAUACCGUGGAGGUCAGCGGAAUAUGUCAUGUAGCGGUGAAAUGCUUAGAUAUGACAUAGAACACCAAUUGCGAAGGCAGCUGGCUACACGAAUAUUGACACUGAUGCACGAAAGCGUGGGGAUCAAACAGG
Molecule: ribosomal RNA, 253 nt
Filed under: uncultured bacterium
Lineage: Bacteria
Description: partial 16S ribosomal RNA
Rfam family: Bacterial small subunit ribosomal RNA
Source: RNAcentral